Molecule: long non-coding RNA, 4091 nt
Filed under: Homo sapiens (human)
Lineage: Eukaryota; Metazoa; Chordata; Mammalia; Primates; Hominidae
Description: non-protein coding LINC00661:23
Source: RNAcentral
AGCCUGGGGGAGCUCAUCCAGGACCAGUUCUUCCGGGCCUGGGCCCUGGAGGAUGCCAUGGCGCUCAGGCACCUUCAUGUCUCCAUGGGGUUACUGAUGAGGAGGCGCUGAGUCCUGCUACCCCCAGUGCCCUGCUUUUGCCCUCGAAGCUCGCUGAAGGGGACCCAUCUCUGCAAGCCCACAGCCCUACCUGCAGCAUCCACAGCCUCAGAGAGCAGCGGGGCCCCUUACCCCUGAACCCCCUCCAAGAGCAUCAGGACAACAAGCCUUGAGCUGUGGAGACAAGAGAAUCAGUAUCCCUGGCCCAGGGAGGAUUCCAGGAGAGGACACGGGCAGGAGCCCUGGCCCAGAGCCAGAACCAAGAGUCCAGCCAGCGAAACUGGAACUAGGGUCCCCGGCACCCAGGACUCUGCGAGCAUCCCCCAACAGCAAGCCCUUCUGCAAGGGAGACGGGUUGGCCCACCCCAGGCUGUCCAGCUCCAGCAGCCUUGCAGGCAGCCUCUCCAGAAAAAGAGCCUGGUCCUCCCCACCCUGCUCCCCACAGGCUGUCCCUGACCCUGAGGCCCAGAGGCACAAGAGGACUUCUGUAGAGCCCAGGGGAGCAGGCUGUUCUCUUGGGGCCCCAGCGGGCUCAAGGUGUGGCCAGGCUGUCCCCAACUCAGGAUAGAUCAUAGGCUGUCCUGCGUACCUCCUCUGGAACUCCCUGCCCAAGCUCUGCCAUGGACCUGGACGUCAGGGGCCUGUGGUUUAACUUUGAAUAGGGAUUCUGGACCUUACACGUGUGCCCUGGACAGCCCCAGAACCAUGGGGUGGGGACCGACCCAGCAAGCCCACCGGGGCCCUGAAACCCGGCCCUGCCGGACACUGUGAUAAUAACCAAGAGGCAAGUCCAGAGACAUCCACUUUGCCCAAUGGCACCUGCAUCCAACUUCUCAGCAGGCAGUGACUGGCAUGGUGUGGGGGCAGCCGGGGCAGCACCUGGCCAGCACCUGGCCAGCUGCCCUGUAGCCCCCGAUGGCUCCAGUGCCUCUGGACCUCAUUUUCUACUUUCUACGGGGAAACCUACUCCCUCAGAGGCCACCAGAGGGAAGAGUGAGCAAGGCGUUCCUGCAGUCCCGACCAGCCAGCGGCAUGUCCUGUGGCCUCUGACUCAACCUAUGAGACAGAGCUCUGAUCCCAGGGCACACUUCCCAGGACACGGGGCCCAGCCUCAACCAGAGCCCUGUGAAGGGAGGGGCACCAGGAUGACCACAUGGGGGACCAUGGCGCUGCACACCUGGGCACUGUACUUCUCAUUGGAGAAUCCAGGCAAGAUCUUGAAGCAGGUGCAUGAGGUCCUGAGCCUGUGCAGCAAACAGCACUCAUCUGGGGUUGGCACGAAGGGGUCUACAGAGCCACGGCCACCGCAGCCUCUUCCCGGCCCCAUCUGUGCAGUGCAAGUGAUCCACGCCUGCUCCUAAACCCAGCCCAGCAAGCAGCAGCAGCCCGGGCCCCCAAGCCCGCCAGGCCAAUGUGCUGCCCAGAGGCUUCGAGGCCCUGCCCGCUGUACCUCCCACCACCUGGAAGCUGCCUCCUGACGCCUUCCAGCCACUGCUGCAGCCGCAACAGGUGUCGCGGCCAGUGCAGGCUUUCCAGACGGUGGCAGCGCCCAGCAGCCGUUGCCUCAGCUCUUUGGUGGCAGCCAGGCCAACAAGGGCAGCAACGAUGACUAGGAUGAUGAGUGAGCAAACAGCUCCACACUGGUGGACAGGCUGGGUGCGCACCCGGUGGUCCUCAAAGGCUCGCUGGGCCUGUACCACCGUUAUAAAUUUGAGAUCAUGAGAUUAUACCGUUUGCCUUCUUGCUUUUUGAAGUACGAGUAUUUUUAUGCACACUUUGUAGACUUCAAAAUCCAUGAAGAGUCUCAAAGAAGCCGGAUGGAUGGAGCCUGCUGCGGAUGCCUUUUACUCUCGUAGAUCAGGGUGAUUUACAUUCCACCUGUAGUCUGCUUGCAAACACACAGAGCAGCCUUGCAGCUUUGUGCCUUUAGACUCUUGGUUUUGCAUUUCUCCCUGCUCCCUUCUUCCUUCCAGUAAGCUGCAACUUUUCUGAUUGAAAGGGUGCAAGGCUAACACACGGAAUGACUAACUCAGGAUCACAUACUGGCAGUGGGAGAGGCAGGAGGAGCAGCUGCCAUCAAUUGCCAGGGCCAAGUGGAUGAUAGGAUGGAUGCUGGUGCAUGCGGAGGAGGCAGACGCAACGCUCAUCUCUAAUAAUGAUGUCUGUUCCCUCAGAGGCGGCUAGAGCAUCACCUCUUCACGCAAGUGUCUUGAAACUCAGCUUGAAGAUUUCAGCAAAUGUGUCUUACAGAGAAGAGAAGAGGGAGUCAGCCCAUCGGGAUUAAAAAUAUAGAGGCAGUGACAACACACACUCGGCUUCAGUUCUUAGGAGAGUUUUGGUUUUGAUUUUUUUUUUUUUUUUGGAGAAGAUUUUUUUUUUAAUGGAUCUACACUGUUAACUGAGACUCUGUUGAGAUUCACUGGUUUACUUAAAAACUUCUCAGGGAUGUCUGUAAAUUUCAGUGUUAUAUGUCAUGAAAACUGGUGUGGGCAGAUCUGUUGGUUGAAAUAAUUUCUACUGUUUCAAAUACUGAAGGCAGGAAUAAUUGGUUUAUACUGUGUUUUAAAUAGAAGUAUUACUGGUAAGUCCCCCAGGACAUUAAACCUUAAAAAUCAGUUUUAAGCUAUUAUUAUUGUAAGAGAAAUACAAAUGGCUGGAAAAUGCCACAGAGAUUCAAAAGCUGCUUAAUUGAAAGAGCAGGAAGGGAUUCUGGCUUGCAAUGCCAAAGUUUCAAUGUUUUUGUAGUUACUGAGCUAAAUCAUAUGGUAAUUGACAGUUUCUAAAUCUGUCACCUAAAGGUUAAAUUAUCUACUGUUGCCGUGAAGUCAAACUUACUGCUGCCUCAGAAAUCCCUGGGUACCGCGAUGGUCAUACAGAAGUAAGGAAGUCAAUUUGAAAUGUCAGUGAGUCAAAAUGAUUAAAGAGGCCAGGUGCAGUGGCUCACGCUUGUAAUCCCAGCACUUUGGGAGGCUGAGGCAGUGGAUUGCUUGAGUCCAGGAGUUUGAGAUCAACCUGUGCGACAUGGCAAAACCCUGUCUCUACAAAAAAUACAAAACAAAUUUAUCCAGACCUAGUGGUGCGCGCCUGUAUAGUUCCAGCUAGGGGGCUGAGGUCGGGGGAUGGCCUGAGCCUGGGAAGUCAGGGCUGCAGUGAGCCGAGAUGGCACCACUGCACUCUGGCCUGGGUGACACAGCCAGACCCUGCCUUAAAAAAAAAAAAAAAAAAAAAAAAGAUUUAAAAAACGGUCUGUUUAUUUAAAAAGAAAAGUGAAAUAAUGCCCAACAGUACAUUUACUCUCUUUUCAGGCUGGGUGCGCUGGCUCACGCCUGUAAUCCCAGCACUUUGGGAGGCCAAGGCAGGCAGAUCACCUGAGGUCAGGAGUUCGAGACCAGCCUGGUCAACAUGGCAAAACCCCGUCUCUACUAAAAAUAUAAAAAUUAGCCAGGCAUGGUGGUGCAAGCCUAUAAUCACAGCUACUUGGGAGGCUGAACCAAGAGAAUCACUUGAACCCAGGAGGUGGAGGUUGCAGUGAGUUGAGAUCACGCCACUGCACUCCACCUGGGCAACAGAGUAAGACUCUGUCUCAAAAAAAUAAUAAUAAUAAUUUCAUAUGGGUUAAAUUUUAAGGUCAGAUGAUCACAAUUUUGAUAUUUUGUCUAAUUUUAUACCUUAGGUGACUUAGAGCCUGAUUUAACGUGACUUUGUCUUGACUACGGAUACGUGGAACUGCAGCCAAAUAUAUUGUUCUGUUUUUAAAAAACAACAAAAAAAAAACCUGCUUCAGUUACUAGGACUGAAGAAAACUGGGCAAAGGGGGGCCCAGGAGGCUAGGUCCCUACAUCUGCCAUUCUUGGCAGCUGCAUUUCACGGUUAGAAAAACUCAGGAAAUAGCCGGGCGUGGUGGCUCACGCCUGUAAUCCCAGCACUUUGAGAGGCCGAGGCAGGUGGAUCACCUGAGGUCAGGAGUUCGAGACCAGCCUGGCCAACAUGGG